ACAACACACAAGGUUUCCUUCCUUCCUUUCUUUUUUUUUCUUUUUCUGAGACACGGUCUUGUUCUAUAGCCCAGGCUGGAGUGCAGUGGUGUGAUCAUGGUUCAUUGUAGCCACAAACUCCUAGGUUCAAGUGACCCUCCUGCCUCAGCCUCCCAAGUAGCUGGCACUACAGGUGCAUGCCAUCAUACCAGGGUUUUUUUUUUAAAUUUUUUUAUUUUUUUAGAUAUGGGGUCUUGCUACAUCGUCCAGGCUGAAUACAAGGUUUUCCGAACAAGCUUCAGACUAGAAUCAGAAGGCUCUGGGCUAGUGGAGAGGGCGUACAGGGAGAGUCAGGAGAAAGUCGGUCUGGUGGAUGGUCAGCAGAUGAUGAAUCAGUUUUGGCUUUGCCAAGUUAUUUAACCUUUCUGAGCCUUAAUUUACUCAUCUGGAAAAUGGGGAAAAUACAGAGCAGGUUCUGGAGGCAGGCAAGCUAAAAUUUUAAUCACUUUUAGCAAUUUGACCCUGAGAAACUACUUUCAGCUUCCCUUCGCCUGUUUCCACUUGUGUAAAAUGAGAGUGAUUAUGAUCUAUCUCAGGGCUAUAAGAAUGAAAUAUGAUAAUACAUGUUAAGUGUUUAAGACUGUGUCUGGUGCAUGGUGUUUAAUAAAUGUCAGCAGUAUGUAUACUAGGAUGGGUCUGAGGAUUGGAGAAACGGAUGCAAAGCACCUAACAUCCUGCCUGACACAUAAUGGGUGGCUGAUAAGCAUCAGCUAUCAUGCGACUUUGAGCAACCCGAUAAAUAUUUUUUAAACAAAUGCCCACAGGAGGAAUGUGUCUUUUUCAUCUUUGACUCUCUGCCACUUAGAGGUAUUAGUUUCUUAUUGCCGCUGCAACAAAAUAGCACACAUUUAGUGACUGAAAACAACACAAGUUUAUUACGAUAUCUCUGGAAGUCAGAAAUCCAAAACGGCCUUCAUUAGGCUAAAGUCAAAGUGUCAGCAGAACUGCUUUCCUUUUAAAGGCUGCAGGGGAGACCCUUUCCCUGCUUUUUCCAGGUUCCAGAGACUUCUUGCAUUUCUUGGCUCAUGUCCGCUUCUUCCGUCUUCACAGCCAGCAGUGAAGCAUCUUCAAAUUUCUGUCUAUGACUCUGACCUCACUUCUGCCAUCUCAUCUCCUUCUCUGAGUCUAACUCUCCUUCUCUCUCUCUCUCUCUAUUUAUUUAUUUUUUGAGAUGGAGUUUCGCUCUUGUUGCCCAGGCUGGAGUGCAAUAGCGCGAUCUCAGCUCACUGCAACCUCCGCCUUCCCGGGUUCAAGCAAUUCUCCUGCCUCAGCCUCCUGCGUAGCUGGGAUUACAGGAAUGUGCCACCACACCCGGGUUCCUCCUUCUCUUAUAAGGAGGUUACGCUGGACUCACCCAGCUAAUCAAGGACAAUCUCUCCAUCUCAAGAUCCUUAACUUAAAUCGCACAUCUGGAAAGUCCAUUUUGCCAGUUGACUGUGGGUAAUGAAAGCUGCAGAAAGCAAAACCGCGGAUCAGAGGGGACAAUGCUGCUUUUUGGAACUCUGUUAGGAGACCAACAUAAACCGAAGAAACUACGAACUAAUACAUCAUGAAAUACUUCUUCUAUUUGGGAGGUGGAGAAACCAUCCCCUUCUCCACCAAAAUGACACUUAAGAAAGAGACCCCAGGGAGGGUAGCAGUGGAAUGAGGGUAGAAAAUAACUGAUGAAGGUCAGUUUCAGCCUUCCUGCCUCCAACCUUCUCACAGACUCCAGUGCAGAAGAGGAUGUAUUCAGCUUCCUAAAGUCUGUGUGUACCACUAACAGGUUAGGAAAUGAGUUAAAUGCCAGAUUCUUAAAUGUUGCAUGUGGGAGGAUCUGAAACAGAGACUUCAGUCACUUUGCCUCUGCCUUAAACACCCACACAACAGAAAUGGAUCACGGCAUUGGCUGAGCAAGAGAGAAGAGCAGAGAAGCAAGAAUACUAGAAGUUACUCUGUUUUUUAUACAGGUCGUGCCUUCCUGAUCUGAAAGUCUGAAAUGCUCCAAAAUUCAGAACUAUUUGAGCUCUGACAUGACU
Molecule: long non-coding RNA, 2057 nt
Organism: Homo sapiens (human)
Lineage: Eukaryota; Metazoa; Chordata; Mammalia; Primates; Hominidae
Source: Ensembl